Molecule: ribosomal RNA, 512 nt
Filed under: uncultured bacterium
Lineage: Bacteria
Description: partial 16S ribosomal RNA
Rfam family: Bacterial small subunit ribosomal RNA
Source: RNAcentral
GACGAACGCUGGCGGCGUGCCUAAUACACGCAAGUCGAGCGGACUAAUGGGAGCUUGCUCCCGUUAGUUAGCGGCGGACGGGUGAGUAACACGUGGCAACCUACCUGUAAGACUGGGAUAACUUCGGGAAACCGGAGCUAAUACCGGAUGAUAUAAAGGAACUCCUGUUCCUUUAUUGAAAGAUGGCUUCGGCUAUCACUUACAGAUGGGCCCGCGGCGCAUUAGCUAGUUGGAGAGGUAACGGCUCACCAAGGCGACGAUGCGUAGCCGACCUGAGAGGGUGAUAGGCCACACUGGGACUGAGACGCGGCCAAGACUCCUACGGGAGGCAGCAGUAGGGAAUCUUCCGCAAUGGACGAAAGUCUGACGGAGCAACGCCGCGUGAGCGAUGAAGGCCUUCGGGUCGUAAAGCUCUGUUGUUAGGGAAGAAUAAGUGCUAGUUGAAUAAGCUGGCACCUUGACGGUACCUAACCAGAAAGCCACGGCUAACUACGUGCCAGCAGCCGCCGCCG